GGCCUUGUAGCUCAGUUGGCUAGAGAGUUGGCUGUACUAAAACCUUCACUUUGCUGGCAUGGGUUCGAAUCCCACUAAGGCCA
Molecule: transfer RNA, 83 nt
Filed under: Schistocephalus solidus
Lineage: Eukaryota; Metazoa; Platyhelminthes; Cestoda; Diphyllobothriidea; Diphyllobothriidae
Rfam family: tRNA
About the family: Transfer RNA (tRNA) molecules are approximately 80 nucleotides in length. Their secondary structure includes four short double-helical elements and three loops (D, anti-codon, and T loops).
Source: Rfam by way of RNAcentral